Long non-coding RNA from Aedes albopictus (Asian tiger mosquito), 909 nucleotides. RefSeq lists it as uncharacterized. The record is from RefSeq and is a predicted model, not a curated record. The transcript is spliced from 2 exons. NCBI's taxonomy places the organism in Eukaryota, Metazoa, Arthropoda, Insecta, Diptera, Culicidae.
CGGAAAAAAAAUGACCAGUAUAUAUGACCACAAAACUGUUCUCAAAUUUACUAUGACUCAUUAUAAUGAAAAUAACAGAAAAUUAGGUCAAAAGAACCGAAUUGUUGUAAAAAAUACUAUGCCUCCUACAAAAAUGCGAAAGUGGGGCUGACUACAUUUUGUAGUUAAACAUACUACGCUUUUUAUGGUAAAAUAUACCGUGUUCCUGGUGGAAUUCACCUUGCGAGUUACUGACGUUGAACAAUUCUACCAUUAUGCAUCUUUUAUUACCAUGAUUAUUGUCAACUCAAGCGUGUUGUACCGACAUUUUUCAGCUGACUAUGUUUGCUGUGCGAAUUUACUACAAUCAUGGUAAUAACAAGUGCACCUGGUGAAGGAAUAAUUGUCGGCCAUAUUGUUGAAAUGAAGAUGCCAUGAAACGUUUUACAUUGCGUAUUUUGAGUUUUGUUUUGUUAAAUUUGAAUAAAAAACAUUAAUAUAAUUAAGUGAGAAACAAGGUGGACAUGUCACAUACUCGGGUACAUGCAGGCAUACAGGAGACCGCAGAAAGACAGUUUUAGCUUGCAGGAAGGCCGCACAAACUAGAUCCGGAGUCUCGUUCUCUUCAUUCCGGGUUUGCUCGUAUUUGAGGUAAGAGCUUAUACCAUAAUUAACAGUUAAGUCGAAAACUAAAGUGAAAUUCUGUUUACAGAACUGCUCAUCAAAAGUAAGACAUCGGAGAACUUUCGGCGAGUGGAAACGGGAUACCUCCCGAUCCUCCUUUCCUGGAUAUUUUUGAAGCAAGCUACGAUUGCGAUUGAUUGCGGUUUAUAGAUGUUCUUCCGGAUUCGGUUAUGCAUAAAAACACAAUGCCAUUCGACUAGGCUAGUUUGUUCUUUUUUUUUUUAAUAAAUAAUCUGCAUGUGCUAA